Molecule: ribosomal RNA, 502 nt
Filed under: uncultured bacterium
Lineage: Bacteria
Description: partial 16S ribosomal RNA
Rfam family: Bacterial small subunit ribosomal RNA
Source: RNAcentral
GACGAACGCUGGCGGCGUGCCUAAUACAUGCAAGUCGAACGAACCGCGACUAGGUGCUUGCACUUGGUCAAGGUGAGUGGCGAACGGGUGAGUAACACGUGGGUAACCUGCCUCAUAGUGGGGGAUAACAGUCGGAAACGACUGCUAAUACCGCAUAGGACAUGGGAUCACAUGAUUCUGUGAGGAAAGGUGGCGCAAGCUAUCGCUAAGAGAUGGACCCGCGGUGCAUUAGCUAGUUGGUAGGGUAACGGCCUACCAAGGCGAUGAUGCAUAGCCGACCUGAGAGGGUGAUCGGCCACAUUGGGACUGAGACACGGCCCAAACUCCUACGGGAGGCAGCAGUAGGGAAUCUUCCGCAAUGGACGCAAGUCUGACGGAGCAACGCCGCGUGAGUGAAGAAGGUCUUCGGAUCGUAAAGCUCUGUUGUUAGAGAAGAACAGCGCAUAGAGUAACUGUUAUGCGUGUGACGGUAGCUAACCAGAAAGCCACGGCUAACUACGUG